UGGGGAAUUUUGGACAAUGGGCGAAAACCUGAUCCAGCAAUGCCGCGUGUGUGAAGAAGGCCUUCGGGUUGUAAAGCACUUUUGUCCGGAAAGAAAUCCUUGGCUCUAAUACAGUCGGGGGAUGACGGUACCGGAAGAAUAAGCACCGGCUAACUACGUGCCAGCAGCCGCGGUAAUACGUAGGGUGCAAGCGUUAAUCGGAAUUACUGGGCGUAAAGCGUGCGCAGGCGGUUUGCUAAGACCGAUGUGAAAUCCCCGGGCUCAACCUGGGAACUGCAUUGGUGACUGGCAGGCUAGAGUAUGGCAGAGGGGGGUAGAAUUCCACGUGUAGCAGUGAAAUGCGUAGAGAUGUGGAGGAAUACCGAUGGCGAAGGCAGCCCCCUGGGCCAAUACUGACGCUCAUGCACGAAAGCGUGGGGAGCAAACAGGAUUAGAUACCCUGGUAGUCCACGCCCUAAACGAUGUCAACUAGUUGUUGGGGAUUCAUUUCCUUAGUAACGUAGCUAACGCGUGAAGUUGACCGCCUGGGGAGUACGGUCGCAAGAUUAAAACUCAAAGGAAUUGACGGGGUCAUAGCUGUUUCCU
This 585-nucleotide ribosomal RNA is filed under the name uncultured bacterium. RNAcentral describes it as "partial 16S ribosomal RNA". It matches the Rfam family "Bacterial small subunit ribosomal RNA", at positions 355 to 1375 of the family's 1533-position model. The record is from RNAcentral.